UACGGAGGGGACUAGCGUUGUUCGGAAUUACUGGGCGUAAAGCGCACGUAGGCGGAUUUGUUAGUCAGGGGUGAAAUCCCGAGGCUCAACCUCGGAACUGCCUUUGAUACUGCAAAUCUCGAGUCCGGAAGAGGUGAGUGGAAUUCCUAGUGUAGAGGUGAAAUUCGUAGAUAUUAGGAAGAACACCAGUGGCGAAGGCGGCUCUCUGGGACGGUACUGACGCUGAGACGCGAAAGCGUGGGGAGCGAACAGG
RNAcentral lists this ribosomal RNA (253 nucleotides) under uncultured bacterium. RNAcentral describes it as "partial 16S ribosomal RNA". It matches the Rfam family "Bacterial small subunit ribosomal RNA", at positions 524 to 776 of the family's 1533-position model. The record is from RNAcentral.